RNAcentral lists this ribosomal RNA (253 nucleotides) under uncultured bacterium. RNAcentral describes it as "partial 16S ribosomal RNA". It matches the Rfam family "Bacterial small subunit ribosomal RNA", at positions 524 to 776 of the family's 1533-position model. The record is from RNAcentral.
GACGUAGGGCGCGAGCGUUGUCCGGAUUUAUUGGGCGUAAAGAGUUCGUAGGCGGCUUGUCGCGUCGAAUGUGAAAUCUCAGGGCUCAACCCUGACAUUGCAUUCGAUACGGGCAGGCUAGAGUUCGGUAGGGGAGACUGGAAUUCCUGGUGUAGCGGUGAAAUGCGCAGAUAUCAGGAGGAACACCGGUGGCGAAGGCGGGUCUCUGGGCCGAUACUGACGCUGAGGCGCGAAAGCGUGGGGAGCAAACAGG